This 146-nucleotide unclassified non-coding RNA is filed under the name soil metagenome. Its description in RNAcentral is "partial internal transcribed spacer 1". The record is from RNAcentral.
CCGAGUUUACAACUCCCAAACCCCUGUGAACAUACCACUUGUUGCCUCGGCGGAUCAGCCCACUCCCGGUAAAACGGGACGGCCCGCCAGAGGACCCCUAAACUCUGUUUCUAUAUGUACUUCUGAGUAAAACCAUAAAUAAAUCA